CAGCAGUCGCGGUAAUACGUAGGGUGCAAGCGUUAUCCGGAUUCACUGGGCGUAAAGUGUCGUGUAGGCGGUAUACCGCAUCGUGUCUGAAAGCCCGAGGCUUAACCUCGGCGUUGGACACGAGAUGGGUAAACUUAGAGGAAUGGAGAGGAAAGGGGAACUCAUGGUGAAGCAGUGAAAUGCGUUGAUAUCAUGAGGAACACCGAAGGCGAAGGCACCUUUCUGGCCAUUAACUGACGCUGAGACACGAAAGCUAGGGGAGCGAAGCAGAUUAGAGACCUGCGUAGUCCUAGCCCUAAACGCAUGUCUGCUAGAUGCCCUGCCGCAAGGCGGGGUGUCGUAAGCUAACGCGUUAAGCAGACCGCCUGGGGACUACGAGCGCAAGCUUAAAACUCAAAGGAAUUGACGGGGACCCGCACAACCAGUGGAGCGUGUGGUUCAAUUCGAGACAAAGCGAAGGACCUCACCAGGGUUUGACAUGUUACCGUUUUAACCACCCAGAAAUGGGAGGCUAUCCGCAAGGAUGGUAGCACAGCUGCUGCAUGGCUGUCGUCAGCUCGUGCCGUGGGGUGUUCCCUUAAGUGGGACAACGAGCGCAACCCCUAUCCGAUGUUACAAGUGUCAUCGGAGACCGCCCCCUCUCAAAGUGUUGAAGCAUAUGAACGAUAAACGAAAACAACGAGAAUAACGAAAACAACAACCUGUUUUGUUAUUUUCGUUUGUUGUUGAAUUGUUUAUAGUUCAAAAAGCUUUCAGCUUUUUGAGAGGGGGAGGAAGGAGGGGACGACGUCAAGUCAGCACGGCGCUUAUGCCCUGGGCCACACACACCCUACAAUGGCGAACAACAACGGGACGCAAGGUAGUAAUGCCAAGCAAAUCUCUGAAAUUUCGCCUCAAUUCAGAUUGAGGUCUGCAACUCGACCUCAUGAAGUUGGAAUUGGUAGUAAUCGCGGAUCAGCAGGCCGCGGUGAAUACGUUCUCGGGUCUUGUACACACCGCCCGUCAAGCCACCAAAGUUGAAGGCGGCCGAAUAUCUAUUUAUAGGUAGAAGCCGAAUUUAGCGAUGGGGACUAAGUCGUAACAAGGUAUCCCUAGCCGAAGCUGGGGAUG
RNAcentral lists this ribosomal RNA (1110 nucleotides) under Candidatus Gottesmanbacteria bacterium UBA927. RNAcentral's name for it is "bacterial SSU rRNA". It matches the Rfam family "Bacterial small subunit ribosomal RNA", at positions 509 to 1520 of the family's 1533-position model. Lineage: Bacteria; Candidatus Gottesmaniibacteriota. The record is from RNAcentral.